This is a long non-coding RNA of Mus musculus (house mouse), 622 nucleotides long. RefSeq annotates it as predicted gene, 31568. The record is from RefSeq and is a predicted model, not a curated record. The transcript is spliced from 3 exons. NCBI's taxonomy places the organism in Eukaryota, Metazoa, Chordata, Mammalia, Rodentia, Muridae.
GUGCAGGGUCCGGAGCACAGUGGCCAUCACAGUUGUGAGGUAAAAAAAGCAGACUGCUGCAAGCAGACACAGUCAAGGGAAGUCCUCUCUUCCAGUGUUCCGCAGGUUCUCUGUCAUGAUGUGUGCUACCCCUGCUUCCUGGUUCUGUGCUAAGAAUAGAGCUCAUUAGAACAACUUCUCUUAUUAUGAGGGGGUAAGGAGAGAGUUUGGAGCAGCGGUUGACAGCAUUCCGAGAAAGCAGGAAACGGUGCUUCUGCAGACAACCAACUGGUGGAGGGGAGUCCUGAGACCUGCCCAGGAAGAGAAGGAAGUUAGAUAUGAAGAAACAGAAGACCACCUUAUCUUUAUCGUGAAGACACCGGCUCAGAAUAUUUCUCCUUGCCUAGUAGCCAACCAGACAAGUGAUCAUUCCACUCACAGGAGACCAGCAGUUGAUCUCCUGGUGUGAAGAACAUACGGUGCAGUGAGGAACGAGGUGAGCAUCCAGAAAGCCACAGACAUUAUGUGACUCACCUCGUGUUGCCAUCCAUACUCUCAUGAGGAUGGCAACUGUCUACUGAAAGAACCUAGUAGGGAAACCCCCACUCAACUCCCGAUUCGGCGUGCACCCAAGAAUCUAUGC